Molecule: ribosomal RNA, 583 nt
Filed under: Paenibacillus pabuli
Lineage: Bacteria; Bacillati; Bacillota; Bacilli; Caryophanales; Paenibacillaceae
Description: bacterial SSU rRNA
Rfam family: Bacterial small subunit ribosomal RNA
Source: RNAcentral
CUCCGCCUGGGGAGUACGGUCGCAAGACUGAACUCCAAAGGAAAUUGACGGGGACCCGCACAAGCAGUGGAGUAUGUGGUUUAAUUCGAAGCAACGCGAAGAAACCUUACCAGGUCUUGACAUCCCUCUGACCGGUACAGAGAUGUACCUUUCUUCGGGACAGAGGAGACAGGUGGUGCAUGGUUGUCGUCAGCUCGUGUCGUGAGAUGUUGGGUUAAGUCCCGCAACGAGCGCAACCCUUGAUCUUAGUUGCCAGCACUUCGGGUGGGCACUCUAAGGUGACUGCCGGUGACAAACCGGAGGAAGGUGGGGAUGACGUCAAAUCAUCAUGCCCCUUAUGACCUGGGCUACACACGUACUACAAUGGCCGGUACAACGGGCAGUGAAACCGCGAGGUGGAACGAAUCCUAAAAAGCCGGUCUCAGUUCGGAUUGCAGGCUGCAACUCGCCUGCAUGAAGUCGGAAUUGCUAGUAAUCGCGGAUCAGCAUGCCGCGGUGAAUACGUUCCCGGGUCUUGUACACACCGCCCGUCACACCACGAGAGUUUAUAACACCCGAAGUCGGUGGGGUAACCGCAAGGAGC